GUCAGUGUGGUGUAAUGGUUCGAGUGCUGGACUACCACUCUGGAGACCUGGGUUUGAUUCCCCACUAUGCCA
This is a non-coding RNA of Phrynosoma platyrhinos (Desert horned lizard), 72 nucleotides long. Lineage: Eukaryota; Metazoa; Chordata; Lepidosauria; Squamata; Phrynosomatidae. The record is from the annotation of a GenBank genome assembly.